UGGGGAAUAUUGCACAAUGGAGGGAACUCUGAUGCAGCGACGCCGCGUGAGUGAUGAAGGAAUUCGUUUCGUAAAACUCUGUUCUAUGGGAAGAAAAGGACUGUACCAUAGGAGAAAGCUCCGGCUAAAUACGUGCCAGCAGCCGCGGUAAUACGUAUGGAGCGAGCGUUGUCCGGAAUUAUUGGGCGUAAAGGGUGCGCAGGCGGCUUUACAAGUUGGAUGUGAAAUAUUGUGGCUCAACCACAAACGUGCAUCCAAAACUGCAAAGCUUGAGUUAAGGAGAGGUAAGUGGAAUUCCUGGUGUAGCGGUGGAAUGCGUAGAUAUCAGGAGGAAUACCGGUGGCGAAGGCGACUUACUGGACUUAAACUGACGCUCAGGCACAAAAGCGUGGGGAGCAAACAGG
This 404-nucleotide ribosomal RNA is filed under the name Fusobacteriota bacterium. Its description in RNAcentral is "Fusobacteria bacterium partial 16S ribosomal RNA". It matches the Rfam family "Bacterial small subunit ribosomal RNA", at positions 355 to 776 of the family's 1533-position model. The record is from RNAcentral. Lineage: Bacteria; Fusobacteriati; Fusobacteriota.